AUUGAACGCUGGCGGCAGGCCUAACACAUGCAAGUCGAGCGAGCGGCGGACGGGUGAGUAAUGUCUGGGAAACUGCCUGAUGGAGGGGGAUAACUACUGGAAACGGUAGCUAAUACCGCAUACCAUCAGAUUUGCCCCGUUGGGAGUAGCUAGUAGGGGGGGGAACGGCUCACCUAGGCGACGAUCCCUAGCUGGCCUGAGAGGAUGAGCAGCCAAACUGGAACUGAGACACGGUCCAGACUCCUACGGGAGGCAGAAGUGGGGAAUAUUGCACAAUGGGAGCAAGCCUGAUGCAGCCAUGCCGCGUGUGUGAAGAAGGCCUUCGGGUUGUAAAGCACUUUCAGCGGGGAGGCGUUACCCGCAGAAGAAGCACCGGCUAACUCCGUGCCAGCAGCCGCGGUAAUAC
RNAcentral lists this ribosomal RNA (406 nucleotides) under uncultured bacterium. RNAcentral describes it as "partial 16S ribosomal RNA". It matches the Rfam family "Bacterial small subunit ribosomal RNA", at positions 29 to 526 of the family's 1533-position model. The record is from RNAcentral.